RNAcentral lists this ribosomal RNA (401 nucleotides) under uncultured bacterium. Its description in RNAcentral is "bacterial SSU rRNA". It matches the Rfam family "Bacterial small subunit ribosomal RNA", at positions 608 to 1004 of the family's 1533-position model. The record is from RNAcentral.
CUCAACCGCGGGUUGGCGCAGGAAACUGGUGGACUUGAGUGCACGAGGGGAGAGUGGAAUUCCCGGAGUAGCGGUGGAAUGCGCAGAUAUCGGGAAGAACACCAACGGCGAAAGCAGCUCUCUGGCGUGUUACUGACCCUCAGGGACGAAAGCGUGGGUAGCAAACAGGAUUAGAUACCCUGGUAGUCCACGCUGUAAACGUUGUGCACUAGAUGCCGGCGGCACUCCGGUGCUGUCGGUGUCCAAGCUAACGCGAUAAGUGCACCGCCUGGGGACUACGGCCGCAAGGCUAAAACUCAAAGGAAUUGACGGGGGCCCGCACAACCGGUGGAGCAUGUGGCUCAAUUCGAGGCUACGCGAAGAACCUUACCCGGGUUUGACAUAUAUCUGCCGGCCUGUGA